UGGGGAAUAUUGGGCAAUGGGCGAAAGCCUGACCCAGCAACGCCGCGUGAUUGAAGAAGGUCUUCGGAUUGUAAAGAUCUGUCCUAUGGGAAGAAACAAAUGACGGUACCAUAGGAGGAAGCCCCGGCUAACUACGUGCCAGCAGCCGCGGUAAUACGUAGGGGGCAAGCGUUGUCCGGAAUUACUGGGCGUAAAGGGUGCGUAGGCGGCAUCUUAAGUCAGAUGUGAAAUAUCCAUGCUUAACGUGGAGGGUGCAUUUGAAACUGGGAUGCUUGAGUGCAGGAGAGGAAAGUGGAAUUCCUAGUGUAGCGGUGAAAUGCGUAGAUAUUAGGAGGAACACCAGUGGCGAAGGCGACUUUCUGGACUGUAACUGACGCUGAGGCACGAAAGCGUGGGGAGCAAACA
Molecule: ribosomal RNA, 405 nt
Filed under: uncultured prokaryote
Description: bacterial SSU rRNA
Rfam family: Bacterial small subunit ribosomal RNA
Source: RNAcentral